GAUGAACGCUGGCGGCGUGCCUAAUACAUGCAAGUCGAGCGAACAGACGAGGAGCUUGCUCCUCUGACGUUAGCGGCGGACGGGUGAGUAACACGUGGAUAACCUACCUAUAAGACUGGGAUAACUUCGGGAAACCGGAGCUAAUACCGGAUAAUAUAUUGAACCGCAUGGUUCAAUAGUGAAAGACGGUUUUGCUGUCACUUAUAGAUGGAUCCGCGCCGCAUUAGCUAGUUGGUAAGGUAACGGCUUACCAAGGCAACGAUGCGUAGCCGACCUGAGAGGUGGAGCGCCCACAGUGGAGCGGAGACCCGGCCCGGACUCCUCCGGGGGGAACAGGUGGGGAUUCUCCCGCAAGGGGGAAAGCCCGGAGGGACAACCCCCGGGUGGGGAAGAAGGGUGUCGGUAUCUAAAAACUUUUUUAUAGGGAAAAAAAAAUUGUUAAAGAAAAUAUCCCCUUCUGAAGGGUACCUAAUAAAAAACCCCCGCCAAACUACGUC
This 497-nucleotide ribosomal RNA is filed under the name uncultured bacterium. RNAcentral describes it as "partial 16S ribosomal RNA". It matches the Rfam family "Bacterial small subunit ribosomal RNA", at positions 28 to 507 of the family's 1533-position model. The record is from RNAcentral.